UUAAUCUGCCCUACACAAGAGGACAACAGUUGGAAACGACUGCUAAUACUCUAUACUCCUGCUUAACACAAGUUGAGUAGGGAAAGUUUUUCGGUGUAGGAUGAGACUAUAUAGUAUCAGCUAGUUGGUAAGGUAAUGGCUUACCAAGGCUAUGACGCUUAACUGGUCUGAGAGGAUGAUCAGUCACACUGGAACUGAGACACGGUCCAGACUCCUACGGGAGGCAGCAGUAGGGAAUAUUGCGCAAUGGGGGAAACCCUGACGCAGCAACGCCGCGUGGAGGAUGACACUUUUCGGAGCGUAAACUCCUUUUCUUAGGGAAGAAUUCUGACGGUACCUAAGGAAUAAGCACCGGCUAACUCCGUGCCAGCAGCCGCGGUAAUACGGAGGGUGCAAGCGUUACUCGGAAUCACUGGGCGUAAAGGGCGCGUAGGCGGAUUAUCAAGUCUCUUGUGAAAUCUAAUGGCUUAACCAUUAAACUGCUUGGGAAACUGAUAGUCUAGAGUGAGGGAGAGGCAGAUGGAAUUGGUGGUGUAGGGGUAAAAUCCGUAGAUAUCACCAAGAAUACCCAUUGCGAAGGCGAUCUGCUGGAACUCAACUGACGCUAAGGCGCGAAAGCGUGGGGAGCAAACAGGAUUAGAUACCCUGGUAGUCCACGCCCUAAACGAUGUACACUAGUUGUUGGGGUGCUAGUCAUCUCAGUAAUGCAGCUAACGCAUUAAGUGUACCGCCUGGGGGAGUACGGUCGCAAGAUUAAAACUCAAAGGAAUAGACGGGGACCCGCACAAGCGGUGGAGCAUGUGGUUUAAUUCGAAGAUACGCGAAAGAACCUUACCUGGGCUUGAUAUCCUAAGAACCUUUUAGAGAUAAGAGGGUGCUAGCUUGCUAGAACUUAGAGACAGGUGCUGCACGGCUGUCGUCAGCUCGUGUCGUGAGAUGUUGGGUUAAGUCCCGCAACGAGCGCAACCCACGUAUUUAGUUGCUAACGGUUCGGCCGAGCACUCUAAAUAGACUGCCUUCGUAAGGAGGAGGAAGGUGUGGACGACGUCAAGUCAUCAUGGCCCUUAUGCCCAGGGCGACACACGUGCUACAAUGGCAUAUACAAUGAGACGCAAUACCGCGAGGUGGAGCAAAUCUAUAAAAUAUGUCCCAGUUCGGAUUGUUCUCUGCAACUCGAGAGCAUGAAGCCGGAAUCGCUAGUAAUCGUAGAUCAGCCAUGCUACGGUGAAUACGUUCCCGGGUCUUGUACUCACCGCCCGUCACACCAUGGGAGUUGAUUUCACUCGAAGCCGGAAUACUAAACUA
This 1305-nucleotide ribosomal RNA is filed under the name Campylobacter coli. Its description in RNAcentral is "bacterial SSU rRNA". It matches the Rfam family "Bacterial small subunit ribosomal RNA", at positions 121 to 1442 of the family's 1533-position model. Lineage: Bacteria; Pseudomonadati; Campylobacterota; Epsilonproteobacteria; Campylobacterales; Campylobacteraceae. The record is from RNAcentral.